RNAcentral lists this ribosomal RNA (372 nucleotides) under uncultured organism. Its description in RNAcentral is "bacterial SSU rRNA". It matches the Rfam family "Bacterial small subunit ribosomal RNA", at positions 526 to 896 of the family's 1533-position model. The record is from RNAcentral.
CGUAGGAGGCGAGCGUUGUCCGGAAUCACUGGGUGUAAAGCGCGUGUAGGCGGCCUGCCAAGUCUGCUGUGAAAGCGCCUGGCUUAACCGGGCGAGGUCGGUGGAAACUGGCGGGCUGGAGGACGGUAGAGGGGGGUGGAAUUCCCGGUGUAGUGGUGAAAUGCGUAGAGAUCGGGAGGAACACCAGUGGCGAAGGCGGCCCCCUGGGCCGGCCCUGACGCUGAGACGCGAAGGCGCGGGGAGCGAACGGGAUUAGAUACCCCGGUAGUCCGCGCAGUAAACGAUGUAUGCUAGGUGUGGGGGGUAUCGAGCCCCUCCGUGCCGACGGUAACCCAAUAAGCAUACCACCUGGGGAGUACGGCCGCAAGGUUA